Molecule: ribosomal RNA, 432 nt
Filed under: uncultured bacterium
Lineage: Bacteria
Description: partial 16S ribosomal RNA
Rfam family: Bacterial small subunit ribosomal RNA
Source: RNAcentral
AACGAACGCUGGCGGCAGGCCUAACACAUGCAAGUCGAGCGAGGACUUCGGUUCUAGCGGCGGACGGGUGAGUAACGCGUGGGAAUGUGCCCUUCUCUACGGAAUAGCCCUGGGAAACUGGGAGUAAUACCGUAUACGCCCUUUGGGGAAAGAUUUAUCGGAGAAGGAUCAGCCCGCGUUGGAUUAGGUAGUUGGUGGGGUAAUGGCCUACCAAGCCGACGAUCCAUAGCUGGUUUGAGAGGAUGAUCAGCCACACUGGGACUGAGACACGGCCCAGACUCCUACGGGAGGCAGCAGUGGGGAAUCUUAGACAAUGGGGGCAACCCUGAUCUAGCCAUGCCGCGUGAGUGAUGAAGGCCUUAGGGUUGUAAAGCUCUUUCAGCUGGGAAGAUAAUGACGGUACCAGCAGAAGAAGCCCCGGCUAACUCCGUG